Molecule: long non-coding RNA, 78 nt
Organism: Aricia agestis (brown argus)
Lineage: Eukaryota; Metazoa; Arthropoda; Insecta; Lepidoptera; Lycaenidae
Exons: 3
Source: RefSeq, a predicted model, not a curated record
UAUUGACUAUUAACAUGUUCCAUAAUGUUAAUAUAAUGGUGGUCGAGCGAUGUAAACAAUUCUGUGCAAAUUUGACAC